This is a long non-coding RNA of Hippocampus zosterae (dwarf seahorse), 1677 nucleotides long. RefSeq lists it as uncharacterized. The transcript is spliced from 3 exons. The record is from RefSeq and is a predicted model, not a curated record. Lineage: Eukaryota; Metazoa; Chordata; Actinopteri; Syngnathiformes; Syngnathidae.
AAGCUGCACAGAUAGAAGGGGGUGGUGAUGGAGGCAGGGGGCAAUAAGAGAAGAAAGAAAACAAAAUAAGACAUAGCUCUUGCACAUGCAACACAACCGGAGCUCCAUCCAUCUCACCUCGUCAGGCCUCAGCUGGCCGAAAGGGACCAGAGGAGUGCGCAAGUGCUAGCUAAAGCCCUCGCGUUUGUUCUUAUGCCAGUUUGGUGAGGUCAGCAAGCUGGGACUGCUGAGGCUGCGUCAUUGGCCGAGCCUGUCACACGGUGCCUGAGUGCCGAACAUGCCCUUUUAUAUAAUCGACGCCACCUCUUUGGCUCACCUCACUCUCUCCUGGUAUGUCUCUUCAAUUUGAACACGCCCACCAAUGUGCCACCUGAUGUCAUGAGGUUGUAAUGAAUUGAACACAAAGCACUGUGGGGAACUACUUAUCGAGAAGGCCUCUGUCACAUACAUGUUCAGGUUAUUGCUUUUUGUUUUUGAGCAGCAAUGUAAGAAACAGUAAAAACAUGUGUAUUCACAUCUGACUGACAACUGACAUUUGUCACGCACGUGAUGACCAGAGGGAAAAAAACAGGCCAUUAAUGGAUUUUUAGAAAUUAUUUCUCAGACUUUUUAUACUCGGUACCACCUUGAAUAAUAUCUAGCUCUCCAAGUACAGCUAUCUGGACAAUAAAAUAAUAAAAUAUAGUAUUGUAGGGGUUAUUUACUGAAACAGAGAGGUUUUGAAAAAAAAUAUUUUAAUUGAUGCUAUUUAAUUUGCACGAUUUCCUUUAAAGUAGAUGAUAUGUACAGUCCACUUAAAAUAAUGUACAACAAAUUGGCUUCAACCAGUAAACAUUCCCUCUCAUCUCCUUUGUGACUUAAAAACAAGGCUCCUUCCGUUCCUACGGCAAUGUAAUCCAAAUUUCUUGACAUUGCCUAUCACUGAGUAAUUGAUCAUUUUUCCCCAUGUCGAGUUACCAUUUGUGACUGUGGUGCCAUUAAACGAUGUUUAGUUAAUUACAUGAAUAUCUAUUCUAUUUAGCGUAUCUUUUGAGCAAAUGAUAGGAACCGAGCUGUAUACUGUAUAGCUUGUAUCGAUGAAUCUAAAAACAUAAAUUUUGCACAUUUCAAUAUACAGGUACAUGUAUUUGACACAGAGUAAAGCUGCAGUCGACGUUGAAAUGUGUUGGAAUGACAAGCGAUGUUUGCGUCAUGUGGCUCAUGUAGAGUCGAUCACUAAAACACAACAAUUGUAUUCAUUUAAAAAAAAUGGAAUAAAAUAUUGACAAAAGGUUCUUUCUUGGCCUAUAAACCGGCACCAUUUGGAAUAAAUAAUUGGGAAACGAAAACAAGUCUUAAUGCCAUGCCUCACAGCUGUAGGCUGGCCUAUGAAUAGAUUUAUUAGGGCAGAUUAAGCGGAGGUGUUACCCAUCCAUUCCUGCUAGUUAAGUGUCGAAACUGAUGAACACUUGAUAUGCCCCAGAGAUCAAAUUUUGGCUUGACUUGUUAGUUUCUGGAUCUUUAUCCUGUAUAUUGAGGUCAAUGUGACAGUGUUUGAUGAAUUCAAGGGUUGAUUUGAACCCAUGUUGACUCUCUCACCUGGACAACCUAACUACACAGCAAAAAAAGAGGUUGAGCACUUAGGGCCCAUUGCUUGGUGUAAAAACUUGCACAUCCUUAUUUUUUUGCCGGGGCAAG